UACAGGGGGUGCAAACGUUGCUCGGAAUCAUUGGGCGUAAAGCGCACGUAGGCGGUUCGUUAUGUCGGAUGUGAAAGCCCUUGGCUUAACCGAGGGAGUGCAUCCGAAACUGGCGAGCUAGAGUACUGAAGAGGAUCGCGGAAUUCCCGGUGUAGAGGUGAAAUUCGUAGAUAUCGGGAGGAACACCGGUGGCGAAGGCGGCGAUCUGGGUAGAUACUGACGCUGAGGUGCGAAAGCGUGGGGAGCAAACAGG
This 253-nucleotide ribosomal RNA is filed under the name uncultured bacterium. Its description in RNAcentral is "partial 16S ribosomal RNA". It matches the Rfam family "Bacterial small subunit ribosomal RNA", at positions 524 to 776 of the family's 1533-position model. The record is from RNAcentral.